Molecule: long non-coding RNA, 216 nt
Filed under: Hordeum vulgare
Lineage: Eukaryota; Viridiplantae; Streptophyta; Magnoliopsida; Poales; Poaceae
Description: long non-coding RNA (HVUL_LNC000360)
Source: RNAcentral
CUCCAAUUCGACUCUCCAAUUAUGCAAUCCUCUCCAAAAUUGGGGCUUUUCUUCACUUCAGCACUUCCCCUCGCAGUGGAUUCCACUAGGUUCUUAACCUCUUCCCAAUUCUUAAACUGAAACCUCUGAUGUCUAAUCCAACUCGGCACCUAACCAGCUUGUCAGCAUCGUAAGUUUGCCUCAACAUUCCCCCUAGAAAUACAAAAAGAAUGUAAA